CCUACGGGGGGCAGCAGUGGGGGAUAUUGCACAAUGGGGGGAACCCUGAUGCAGCGACGCCGCGUGGGUGAAGGAGCGUUUCGGCGCGUAAAGCCCUAUCGGUAGGGAAGAAGGAGGACGGUACCUGACUAAGAAGCACCGGCUAACUACGUGCCAGCAGCCGCGGUAAUACGUAGGGGGCAAGCGUUAUCCGGAUUUACUGGGUGUAAGGGGGGCGCAGACGGCAGCGCAAGCCAGGAGUGAAAGCCCGGGGCUCAACCCCGGGACUGCUCUUGGAACUGCGCGGCGGGAGUGCAGGGGGGGCAGGCGGAAUGCCUGGUGUAGCGGUGAAAUGCGUAGAUAUCAGGAGGAACACCGGUGGCGAAGGCGGCCUGCUGGACUGCGACUGACGUUGAGGCCCGAAAGCGUGGGGAGCAAACAGGAUUAGAUACCCUGGUAGUC
This 441-nucleotide ribosomal RNA is filed under the name uncultured bacterium. RNAcentral's name for it is "partial 16S ribosomal RNA". It matches the Rfam family "Bacterial small subunit ribosomal RNA", at positions 338 to 795 of the family's 1533-position model. The record is from RNAcentral.